AGCGAACGCUGGCGGCAGGCCUAACACAUGCAAGUCGAACGAACCUUUCGGGGAUAGUGGCGGGCGGAUGCGUAACACGUAGUAACGUGCCAUUAGGUACGGAAUCACUCAGGGAAACUCUUACUCAUACCGAAUGUGCCCUGAGGGGGAAAGAAUUAUCGCCUUAAGAGCUGCACGCGCCUGCUUGGAUAGUUGGGUGAGGUACUGGCUCAACAAGACUAGGGUCUGGUUCUCGAGUUGGAGGAUGAUCAGCCACAAUGGGAAUGAGACACGGCCCAAGCUCCCAAGGGAGGCAGGAAGGGGGAAUCUUGCGAAAUGGGCGAAAGCCUGACGCAACCAUGCCGCGGGAAUGAAGAAGGUCUUAGGAUUGUAAAAUUCUUUCACCGAGGACGAAAAUGACGGUACCCGGAGAAGAAGCCCCGGCUAACUACGUG
Molecule: ribosomal RNA, 434 nt
Filed under: uncultured bacterium
Lineage: Bacteria
Description: partial 16S ribosomal RNA
Rfam family: Bacterial small subunit ribosomal RNA
Source: RNAcentral